AUUGAACGCUAGCGGCAUGCUUUACACAUGCAAGUCGAACGGACGCGCGGGAUUCGGUCUGGCGGCGUGUUGCGAGCGGGUGGGUAAUGUAUCCGAGCGUGCCCUGUCUCGGGGGCUAACUACGCGUAAGCGUAGCUAAUCCCGCAUACGCUCUACGUGGGAAACCAGGGGUUCGUAAGACCUUGCCCUUCUUGCUCGGACCAUGACGGAUUAGCUAGUUGGUGAGGUAACGGCUUACCAAGGCGACGAUCCGUAGCUGGUUUGAGAGGCCGACCAGCCACACUGGGACUGAGACACGGUCCAGACUCCUACGGGAGGCAGCAGUGGGGAAUUUUGGACAAUGGGGGCAAGCCUGACCCAGCCAUCCCGCGUGAGCGAUGAAGGUCUUCGGGUCGUAAAGCACUGUUGGCAGGAAAGAAACGAUGCGUGCGAAUACCCCGUGAAACUGACGGUACCUGCAGAAUAAGCACCGGCUAACUACGUG
This 484-nucleotide ribosomal RNA is filed under the name uncultured bacterium. RNAcentral's name for it is "partial 16S ribosomal RNA". It matches the Rfam family "Bacterial small subunit ribosomal RNA", at positions 30 to 507 of the family's 1533-position model. The record is from RNAcentral.